CAUUCAGUCAGUCAAUUGUCAGUCAGUCAGAUUUGCUCUUCAAGGUGAUGGCUGUUGGCAGGAAUGAAUUUUUGUAUCUCUCCGUUCGACAGCGAAGCUGAUGCAGUCUCCCACUAAACACACAUCACUGUUGAUUCUUCACUGUGUUGUGGAGAGGGUGGGAAGAAUCCUCCAUCAUCUUUAUCAUCUUCAUCAUCAACACUG
This is a long non-coding RNA of Stegastes partitus (bicolor damselfish), 204 nucleotides long. RefSeq lists it as uncharacterized. The record is from RefSeq and is a predicted model, not a curated record. Lineage: Eukaryota; Metazoa; Chordata; Actinopteri; Pomacentridae. The transcript has 3 exons.